GUGGCUGUGGCUCAGAGGUAGAGCGCUUGCCUAGCAUGUAUGAGGCUCAGAGUUUGAUCCUCAGCACCACA
Molecule: transfer RNA, 71 nt
Filed under: Ictidomys tridecemlineatus (thirteen-lined ground squirrel)
Lineage: Eukaryota; Metazoa; Chordata; Mammalia; Rodentia; Sciuridae
Description: Spermophilus tridecemlineatus (thirteen-lined ground squirrel) tRNA
Rfam family: tRNA
About the family: Transfer RNA (tRNA) molecules are approximately 80 nucleotides in length. Their secondary structure includes four short double-helical elements and three loops (D, anti-codon, and T loops).
Source: Rfam by way of RNAcentral